GGGAAAGGGGUGGCAUGGGGGGCGGGAAUAGUGAGGGGGCGAGCGUUGUCCGGGGUGAUGGGGCGGAAAGAGGGUGUGGGCGGCGAGGGAGGUCUGCUGUGAAAACCCGAGGCUUAACCUCGAGCUGUCGGCGGAAACCAUCUGGCUAGAGUCCGGAAGAGGAGAAUGGAAUUCCCGGUGUAGCGGUGAAAUGCGCAGAUAUCGGGAAGAACACCCGUGGCGAAGGCGGUUCUCUGGGACGGUACUGACGCUGAGACGCGAAAGCGUGGGGAGCGAACAGGAUUAGAUACCCUAGUAGUC
RNAcentral lists this ribosomal RNA (300 nucleotides) under uncultured archaeon. Its description in RNAcentral is "bacterial SSU rRNA". The stretch from base 56 to 300 matches the Rfam family "Bacterial small subunit ribosomal RNA", at positions 551 to 795 of the family's 1533-position model. The record is from RNAcentral.